UGGCAGGCAGAUUUUCUCGCAUCGAGCUCGUCAGGCUCAUAACCUGAAGGUCGUAGGUUCAAAUCCUACCCCCGCAACCA
RNAcentral lists this transfer RNA (80 nucleotides) under Rhodobacterales bacterium 52_120_T64. Its description in RNAcentral is "tRNA-Met". It matches the Rfam family "tRNA". Rfam says of the family: Transfer RNA (tRNA) molecules are approximately 80 nucleotides in length. Their secondary structure includes four short double-helical elements and three loops (D, anti-codon, and T loops). Further hydrogen bonds mediate the characteristic L-shaped molecular structure. tRNAs have two regions of fundamental functional importance: the anti-codon, which is responsible for specific mRNA codon recognition, and the 3' end, to which the tRNAs corresponding amino acid is attached (by aminoacyl-tRNA synthetases). tRNAs cope with the degeneracy of the genetic code in two manners: having more than one tRNA (with a specific anti-codon) for a particular amino acid; and 'wobble' base-pairing, i.e. permitting non-standard base-pairing at the 3rd anti-codon position. Lineage: Bacteria; Pseudomonadati; Pseudomonadota; Alphaproteobacteria; Rhodobacterales. The record is from RNAcentral.